This is a small nuclear RNA of Lemur catta (Ring-tailed lemur), 103 nucleotides long. NCBI's taxonomy places the organism in Eukaryota, Metazoa, Chordata, Mammalia, Primates, Lemuridae. The record is from RefSeq and is a predicted model, not a curated record.
UUGCUUCAGCAGCACACACACCAAUAUUGGAAUGACACAAAGAACAACAGCAUGGACCCUGCACAAGGAUGACACGCACAGUGGUGACACGUUCCAUGUUUUU